This 465-nucleotide ribosomal RNA is filed under the name uncultured bacterium. RNAcentral's name for it is "bacterial SSU rRNA". It matches the Rfam family "Bacterial small subunit ribosomal RNA", at positions 28 to 507 of the family's 1533-position model. The record is from RNAcentral.
GACGAACGCUGGCGGCGUGCCUAACACAUGCAAGUCGAACGGGGUAAUGACUUCGGUUAUUACUUAGUGGCGAACGGGUGAGUAACGCGUGAGAAACCUGCCUUUCAGUGGGGGACAACAGUUGGAAGCGACUGCUAAUACCGCAUAAUGUAUCGAUGGGGCAUCCUGUUGAUACCAAAGCUUUAUGUGCUGAAAGAUGGUCUCGCGUCUGAUUAGCUAGUUGGUGAGGUAACGGCUCACCAAGCCGACGAUCAGUAGGGGUUCUGAGAGGUUGAACGGCCACAUUGGGACUGAGAUACGGCCCAGACUCCUACGGGAGGCAGCAGUGGGGAAUAUUGGGCAAUGGGGGAAACCCUGACCCAGCAACGCCGCGUGAAGGAAGAAGGCUUUCGGGUUGGUAAACUUCUUUUACCAGGGACGAAGACGUGACGGUACCUGGAGAAAAAGACCACGGCUAACUACGUG